AGGGCACCACCAGGAGCGGAGCCUGCGGCUUAAUUUGACUCAACACGGGAAAUCUCACCAGGCCCGGACACUGGAAGGAUUGACAGAUUGAGAGCUCUUUCUUGAUUCAGUGGGUGGUGGUGCAUGGCCGUUCUUAGUUGGUGGAGCGAUUUGUCUGGUUAAUUCCGGUAACGAACGAGACUCUGGCCUACUAACUAGACGUUAGAUCCUUUAUGGGUUUGACGAUGCUUCUUAGAGGGACGGGCGGCUUUUAGCCGCACGAGAAUGAGCAAUAACAGGUCUGUGAUGCCCUUAGAUGUUCUGGGCUGCACGCGCGCUACACUGAAGAAAUCAGCGUGUGUUCCCUAUCCGAAAGGUUUGGGAAACCCGUUGAACCUUCUUCGUGAUGGGGAUUGGGGAUUGUAAUUAUUCCCCAUGAACGAGGAAUUCCCAGUAGGCGCGAGUCAUAAGCUUGCGUCGAUUACGUCCCUGCCCUUUGUACACACCGCCCGUCGCUACUACCGAUCGAGUGAUUUAGUG
RNAcentral lists this ribosomal RNA (519 nucleotides) under uncultured eukaryote. Its description in RNAcentral is "SSU rRNA". It matches the Rfam family "Eukaryotic small subunit ribosomal RNA", at positions 1161 to 1703 of the family's 1831-position model. The record is from RNAcentral.